Molecule: ribosomal RNA, 371 nt
Filed under: uncultured bacterium
Lineage: Bacteria
Description: bacterial SSU rRNA
Rfam family: Bacterial small subunit ribosomal RNA
Source: RNAcentral
GAACCGUGCGAACGUUGUUCGGAUUCACUGGGCUUAAAGGGCGCGUAGGCGGGCCGUUCCGUCGGUGGUGAAAUCCCCCGGCCCAACCGGGGAACCGCCUCCGAUACCGACGGCCUCGAGGGGGGUAGGGGCGGCCGGAACUUCCGGUGGAGCGGUGAAAUGCGUAGAUAUCGGAAGGAACGCCGGUGGCGAAAGCGGGCCGCUGGACCCCCACUGACGCUGAGGCGCGAAAGCCAGGGGAGCGAACGGGAUUAGAUACCCCGGUAGUCCUGGCCCUAAACGAUGGGCACUAGGUAGUGGGCUUGCAUGGGCUCACUGCCGCAGCCAAAGUGCUAAGUGCCCCGCCUGGGGAGUAUGGUCGCAAGGCUGAA